Molecule: ribosomal RNA, 449 nt
Filed under: uncultured bacterium
Lineage: Bacteria
Description: bacterial SSU rRNA
Rfam family: Bacterial small subunit ribosomal RNA
Source: RNAcentral
ACUCCUACGGGAGGCAGCAGUGGGGAAUCUUGGACAAUGGGCGCAAGCCUGAUCCAGCCAUGCCGCGUGAGUGAUGAAGGCCGUUAGGGUCGUAAAGCUCUUUCGCCAGAGAUGAUAAUGACAGUAUCUGGUAAACGAAACCCCGGCUAACUCCGUGCCAGCAGCCGCGGUAAUACGGAGGGGUUAGCGUUGUUCGGAAUUACUGGGCGUAAAGCGCACGUAGGCGGAUUAGUUAGUCAGAGGUGAAAUCCCGGGGCUCAACCCCGGAACUGCCUUUGAUACUGCUAGUCUUGAGUUCGAGAGAGGUGAGUGGAAUUCCGAGUGUAGAGGUGAAAUUCGUAGAUAUUCGGAGGAACACCAGUGGCGAAGGCGGCUCACUGGCUCGAUACUGACGCUGAGGUGCGAAAGUGUGGGGAGCAAACAGGAUUAGAUACCCUGGUAGCGACUGA